GGCAGUAAGCAGGUUCACUGCUUCUCAAUUCUAUAGCAGCUACUGGAGUGGGAACAUCAGCAGCAGCAGCUGUGAAGGGACUGGGCUAUGUCAGUGAUUCAGCAGUGAAGGUUAUUCCUUUUUUACUGCUGUGGUGACUCCACUUCUCCUGGUUCCAAGGUGGCUAUCACUUCAAUUUUGGACUAUUGCCCAUACAGUUUGGCAUAUGAGCAUUGUUGUUUAAAUCACUCUUGUGCUCUUUUUCUUACACUUCAAUAGGUUCUCUUGCCGCCGCCACCCCCACUAAACUUGAAGCAUCAUGAAAAAUGGAAGUAGCUGGGAAGCCGUGCCAAGAAUCCAGACCAGUUCUGAGGGCAACUUUGUAAAGAACUCAGAUGCAAUUGGGAACUAAGUGACUAAAACAAAAUGGAGGGGAGCAGAUACAUGGAUGUACUUGUACUGUACAGAGUACUGUACAAAGGGCCAGGAAGUCUGUGGAAUACAAUGAUUCCUGAUAACAGCCAACAGAAGAUAGAAUCAAGAUCGCUAUCCUGGACUAAUAUCCUGAGACUGACCAAUAAUUGUCAGAAGACAGGAUCUAGAGGAGAACAGCAAAUUACACUUUUGAGAUCCAUGAUGGAAACUACUAUCUUGAAAGAACUCCUAGUUCAGAUCUAUAGAAUCCAGUUGCUAUAAAAAGUGUUCUCCAGACAUGGCAA
Hemicordylus capensis (graceful crag lizard) is the source of this 698-nucleotide long non-coding RNA. RefSeq lists it as uncharacterized. The record is from RefSeq and is a predicted model, not a curated record. The transcript is spliced from 3 exons. NCBI's taxonomy places the organism in Eukaryota, Metazoa, Chordata, Lepidosauria, Squamata, Cordylidae.